ACUCAACGCUAACAAAUUAAAAUGAGUGAAUCAUUGCUUCUAAAGCACGCUGCCUUGCGCAGAUCCUUGAACAGCAAGAUAGCUCAAAACUUGUCAUAUUACGAGUUU
RNAcentral lists this small RNA (108 nucleotides) under Flavobacterium sp. NKUCC04_CG. RNAcentral describes it as "6S-Flavo RNA". It matches the Rfam family "6S-Flavo RNA". Lineage: Bacteria; Pseudomonadati; Bacteroidota; Flavobacteriia; Flavobacteriales; Flavobacteriaceae. The record is from Rfam by way of RNAcentral.